Molecule: transfer-messenger RNA, 356 nt
Filed under: Dehalococcoidales bacterium
Lineage: Bacteria; Bacillati; Chloroflexota; Dehalococcoidia; Dehalococcoidales
Rfam family: transfer-messenger RNA
About the family: Bacterial tmRNA, also known as 10Sa RNA or SsrA, is named for its dual tRNA and mRNA-like properties. Its role is to liberate the mRNA from a stalled ribosome.
Source: RNAcentral
GGGGGCGCGUGGAUUCGACAGGGAAGGUUAGUUGCGGAAUUGCAAGCUGAGGAUGUCACUACCCUCAUUAAUCACGUGACAAAAAUUAACUGCCGAUGAUGCAGUUUUAGUUGCUGCCUAAUUAACAGGUAGCACAUCCAACCCGGCCUCACCUCGACGGGCCGGGAUUGGGUGACGUUAAGUUGGGGUGCCGCUUCUCCGACGUCGAUAAGAGCGGCGAAAGAAAUAUCGACUGGCCUGGUUGAACUCCGUCGGUUGAGGUCCACCAGGUAAGAUUAAAUUAGCUGACUAAGCUUGUAGCAGAUUCCGGGCAAUUUUUCUUGGACGGGGAGUUCGACUCUCCCCCGCCUCCACCA